UCUUCCAAAUGAAACACGAGCCUCUUUUUCUCUCCGUGGAUAUGGAUAUGCAUAUGGUAGCACGAGCUACUUCAUCUCUCCGUGGCUGCUACUUCUGCUUCUUCCGCCGCUGCCGCUGCCGCCGUUGCCGCUGUCACCGUUGUGUCGCACAAUCUCUCUCUCUAUCAUCCCUUGCGUCGCACGAGAUCCCUCCGCCGCCGCUCUCGUCGCAUCUACUCCCAUCGUCGCAGAGCUCUCUCUGCCGCUGCUCUCAUCGCAUCUGCUCCCUCUGGCUCCUCUUCCAUCUAAUCUCAACUCGCUCUCUCAGUUCUUCUCGUAACCAUCUCAAAUUUCAGGUUCACUCUGAUUUUGAUGAAUUAUUUUCUGCAAUCGAAGCUUUUUUGACCUAAAAUUCAUGGUUUUCUCUGAAGAAAGGUGGAAGGGAUGGUGAUGAUGGUACUGAAGAUGGGUGGAAGGAAGGGAAGUUAU
Arachis ipaensis is the source of this 468-nucleotide long non-coding RNA. RefSeq lists it as uncharacterized. The record is from RefSeq and is a predicted model, not a curated record. Lineage: Eukaryota; Viridiplantae; Streptophyta; Magnoliopsida; Fabales; Fabaceae.